UGAGGGUUGAUAGGUUAAGAGCUAGCGUAUUGGACGUUACCCACAGAAAAAGCACCGGCUAACUCCGUGCCAGCAGCCGCGGUAAUACGGGGGGUGCAAGCGUUAAUCGGAAUAACUGGGCGUAAAGGGUGCGUAGGUGGUUUAAUAAGUUAUGUGUAAAAUUCCUGGGCUCAACCUAGGGAGGUCAGAUAAGACUGUUAGACUAGAGUAUAGGAGAGGGUAGUGGAAUUUCCGGUGUAGCGGUGAAAUGCGUAGAGAUCGGAAGGAACACCAGUGGCGAAGGCGACUACCUGGCCAGAUACUGACACUGAGGCACGAAAGCGUGGGGAGCAAACAGGAUUAGAUACCCUGGUAGUCCACGCCGUAAACGAUGUCAACUAGGUGUUGGUCAUAUAGAAGUGAUUAGUGCCGAAGCAAACGCGAUAAGUUGACC
This 433-nucleotide ribosomal RNA is filed under the name uncultured Legionella sp. RNAcentral describes it as "bacterial SSU rRNA". It matches the Rfam family "Bacterial small subunit ribosomal RNA", at positions 438 to 870 of the family's 1533-position model. The record is from RNAcentral. Lineage: Bacteria; Pseudomonadati; Pseudomonadota; Gammaproteobacteria; Legionellales; Legionellaceae.